Molecule: transfer RNA, 78 nt
Filed under: Hymenobacter sedentarius
Lineage: Bacteria; Pseudomonadati; Bacteroidota; Cytophagia; Cytophagales; Hymenobacteraceae
Description: tRNA-Val
Rfam family: tRNA
About the family: Transfer RNA (tRNA) molecules are approximately 80 nucleotides in length. Their secondary structure includes four short double-helical elements and three loops (D, anti-codon, and T loops). Further hydrogen bonds mediate the characteristic L-shaped molecular structure. tRNAs have two regions of fundamental functional importance: the anti-codon, which is responsible for specific mRNA codon recognition, and the 3' end, to which the tRNAs corresponding amino acid is attached (by aminoacyl-tRNA synthetases). tRNAs cope with the degeneracy of the genetic code in two manners: having more than one tRNA (with a specific anti-codon) for a particular amino acid; and 'wobble' base-pairing, i.e. permitting non-standard base-pairing at the 3rd anti-codon position.
Source: RNAcentral
GGGGGAUUAGCUCAGCUGGUUCAGAGCAUCUGCCUUACAAGCAGAGGGUCGUAGGUUCGAACCCUACAUCCCCCACCA